AGUGAACGCUGGCGGUAGGCCUAACACAUGCAAGUCGAACGGCAGCACAGGAGAGCUUGCUCUCUGGGUGGCGAGUGGCGGACGGGUGAGGAAUACAUCGGAAUCUGCCCAGUCGUGGGGGAUAACGUAGGGAAACUUACGCUAAUACCGCAUACGACCUUCGGGUGAAAGAGGGGGAUCGCAAGACCUCUCGCGAUUGGAUGAGCCGAUGUCGGAUUAGCUAGUUGGCGGGGUAAUGGCCCACCAAGGCGACGAUCCGUAGCUGGUCUGAGAGGAUGAUCAGCCACACUGGAACUGAGACACGGUCCAGACUCCUACGGGAGGCAGCAGUGGGGAAUAUUGGACAAUGGGCGAAAGCCUGAUCCAGCAAUACCGCGUGGGUGAAGAAGGCCUUCGGGUUGUAAAGCCCUUUUGUUGGGAAAGAAAUCUUUCAGGCUAAUACCCUGGGAGGAUGACGGUACCCAAAGAAUAAGCACCGGCUAACUUCGUG
Molecule: ribosomal RNA, 490 nt
Filed under: uncultured bacterium
Lineage: Bacteria
Description: partial 16S ribosomal RNA
Rfam family: Bacterial small subunit ribosomal RNA
Source: RNAcentral